This 368-nucleotide transfer-messenger RNA is filed under the name Propionimicrobium sp. BV2F7. It matches the Rfam family "transfer-messenger RNA". From Rfam's summary of the family: Bacterial tmRNA, also known as 10Sa RNA or SsrA, is named for its dual tRNA and mRNA-like properties. Lineage: Bacteria; Bacillati; Actinomycetota; Actinomycetes; Propionibacteriales; Propionibacteriaceae. The record is from RNAcentral.
GGGGGUGACUGGUUUCGACUGGGGAGAGUAGCUCUAGGAGAAGCGGGCCGAGAAGCCAAGGUCGACUCGUUAACGUUCCUUGGAAAACAAUAAGUGCCAACAAUCGCACUGACUUCGCUCUCGCUGCCUAAUUGUAGUGAUCGAAGGGUCAGCCCGGAUGUAGCCUUCCGUCCGGUUCCUGGCCUCGUUUAGAAGGCUUGCUGCACGUCUUUUGCUUGAGGCGGCGUGCGGGACUUUUAUCAAGCUAGGCUUGGCUGCAACUUGCCGACAUGAGUGCAGAAGCCGAGAAUCCCGAAAACGUCGGCUGCGCCCGGAGAAAACCUGGACUGCCUUGUCAGGACGCGAGUUCAAUUCUCGCCACCUCCACC